Cricetulus griseus (Chinese hamster) is the source of this 114-nucleotide non-coding RNA. The record is from RefSeq and is a predicted model, not a curated record. Lineage: Eukaryota; Metazoa; Chordata; Mammalia; Rodentia; Cricetidae.
UGCAGGCCUGAUAAUAAUUACAACCAGACUGGAAAAGAAAUCUUGGACCCAUGUGACCUGGAUGGAAAACAACAGAAUCAAACCCCUUUAAAUAAAAUUUUAUUAAUAAAUAAA